Long non-coding RNA from Bubalus bubalis (water buffalo), 7715 nucleotides. RefSeq lists it as uncharacterized. The transcript has 3 exons. The record is from RefSeq and is a predicted model, not a curated record. NCBI's taxonomy places the organism in Eukaryota, Metazoa, Chordata, Mammalia, Artiodactyla, Bovidae.
UGUGCCUUUGCUUGGGAGCAUCUUCUCACACUCUCAGUUCAGUACAACACAUUGGAUAAGUGAGCUGUUUCUCACAUAUGAGGAUGGUGCCUUUGAACCCCAGUCAGCAAGGAGUGAGCUCUGUGCUGUUCUGUCCUGGUGACGGCCUGUGCUGAGUCAUCCACUCUGGCCAGCAGCAAACGUUUGUGAAGACAGUCACCAUGGAUUAUGAGUUUGUUCUGUGGCUGGCGGCAAAAUUAUGUUUGUUAAUUUCCCAAGCUAAUUGCUCAUUCUAUCCUGAAACAAGCUGGCCCACAGAGCUACCCCAUCUUUGGACCUGGCUUUAUCUGUGCCAUAUUUUAUCAAAUUGGGGUAAUGGAUGGAGACACACUGUUUAAGACGGCUGAUCUGGGAUAGACCCUCUCAUAUGAGAGUACAUUGGAGACCUGCUUUGCUUUUGAUGCCAGAGACAGUGCUUGUCACAUAAGAGGGUCAGUGGAAAUCAACCAAGAGCAAGAAAGCACUGAAUACAAAAGAAGGAGUGGAGGGGAGAGAAGAGUUUGUCCUGCAGGAAAAGGACGCUGAGAAGGGCCUUGGGGCUACAAAUGAUGGACAAAAACACAAAGAAGAAAAUAAGCGCAGAGUGGUUCAGGGAAGUCAUCUGCUAAAAAGUCCCCAGGUACACGGCCACGUCCCUGGCUGACAACCUCCUCUCUCCUGACUGAUAUAAAAAAGGAGAUAUGCUGAUCCUUCUCGGCUCUCUUUCUUCCCAUUGCUCUUCUGUGACUCAACCAAGAGAGUACUCCAAUCCAUACCAAAUACAUUUCCAGAUAUCAACAAAGGAAAGUUGACUGGAAAGAUCAGAAACAAAAGUCCUGUCUCAAACACAGAUCACUGAAUGCUGUGACUCUUUGGUUGCUUGGGCUUCCCUGGUGGCUCGGCGGUAACGAAUCUGCCUGCCAAUGGAGGAGACGAGGGUUCAAUCCCUGAUCCAGGAAGAUCCCCUGGGAAAGGAAAUGGCAACUCACUCCAGUAUUCUUGCCUGGGAGAUCUCAUGGACAGAGGAGCCUGGUGGGCUACAGUCCUUGGGGUUGCAGUCUGACACAACUUAGCAACUGAACAACAACAACAUUUAAAAAAAAAAAAAGAUGAUUCAGUCUCAGGUACAGUAUUAGAGAAUUACAAAAUGAUUCUGAAUGUCUCUGUCCCAGACCAGAGAAAUCCUGUCAAAAGAGAAAAAAGAAAGGCAAGAGUUCUCAUUUUCCCACAAAACAUAUUUUAAUGAUAAUGAAUUAUCCAGUAUGUCUCUAUAAAAAGAUCCUUCAGAUUCUAAAAAUGUCAAGUAAAUUUUUAUUGAUGACUGUUUACUAUAGCCAUUAUCAGUUUCAGAUAGGUAAGCUAUGAUAUAUAUAUAUAUUUUUUUUUGUUUUAAAUGAAUGGCAUAUGCAGUUAAAAUUCAUUUGUAGUUGUUGCUCAGCCACUCAGUUGUGUCCAACCCUUUUGCAACCCAUGGACUGUAGUCUGCCAGGCUCCUCUAGCCAUGGGAUUUCCAGCAAGAAUAUUAGAGUGGGUUGCUGUUUCCUUCUCCAGGGGAUCUUCCUGACUCAGGAAGGAUCAAACCCAUAUCUCCUGCAUUGCAGGUGCAUUCUUUACCACUGAGUCAUCAUGGAAGCUCUAAAAUUCAGUAGGGACUCAAAGUUAACAAUAUAUUUAUAACCUCUUUAUAGGACUUGGAGCUACAUUCCCCCGUUUUAAAUAAUGAUAAUGUUUUAGCUGCACCUUGGUUUUUAUUACGUGUAGUUUGCCCUCUCUGUGCUUCAUUUGCUGUCAGGUUGGUAACAUGUGAAGUUUCAAAUUAUAUCCUUGUUCCUGUUCCAACUUAUGACUUUCCAAAAGGAACACUAAACACAUUCAACCGUAAGCUAUCCAGCCAAAGGAAAUGAUGGGACUCCUGCUGUUUGAACCACUGAAAUCCAAUUUGGGGGAGGCGCUGCCCAUUAUCCUAUAUAGAGAAUCCAGAUGGACGAAGAUGGGAUCAAGCCUGAAGUUCUUCUGUACUGCAGUCACUUCGGUUCUAACUGUGAAAUUACCAGUUUUAGAGGACUGAUGCUGGACACUCACAACAAUGUCACCGCCUCAAGAAAGUACCACUCUUCACAAUUUACAUGAAAACUCUAUAUAGGGAAAUCUAAUUGGAAUAUUUUUCAACAGCAUUUAAAUACCAGGCCAGCUGGAUCUCCACAGCCCAUGUGAAUUGAAUGAGCACACUUCUCAGAACCUGUAUUCUAUCAUCACUGAAUGCUUGAGCUACAUCUGUCACCCAAAUCUGGCCGUGCUCAUUUCUUGUCAUUCACUCUGAACAUCCAGAAACGAAACAUUCAGUGGUAGCCUCAGAGGCACUCGUUUUGUGACAGCGUGCAGCAGUGAGACGGCAUCCUUGAAAUGAAAUGCCUUCCUAACCCCACGCCCCUGCUCUUCCUCUAACUUUCCCUUUUCCAAAUUCCCCUGAAGAACACUUUUUCAAGGUGAAUCUGACGUGGCUGAUCCACAACUUACAUUUUAGCAGUUAUACCUUCAACUGAUAUCUCAAUUCAUACCAUAUAAAUCUCCCAAUAUCAAGUUCUUUUUUUUUUUUUAAGAUAACAGUACCACUAAAUAAAAAUGUCAUUUCACCCUGUUCUUCUGUUCCCUUCCUCUACUACUGGAAUCUAUUAACCUAGCUUUUAUUUCUCAAACCAACACAAAGUGUCAGAAGCCGGAGCUGGUCUUUUUUUAAUCAAACGUGACAUCAAAUAAAAUAUAGUUAAGACCACAACGAGUCAUAAAAGCAAGGACACAUCAACUCUCAAGCUCCCUGAAGCUUUUAGAAUCUUGUUGAGGGGAUGGAAAACAUGCACAAAAAGUAACGGUGGGAUGUUCCUAAAAUGUCAUGUAAACCAGUUACUUCUGUGUUGACAGAAAGUACUGUAAUGGUGCUGGGAAGUUCAAAGCUAUGAAGAGACCAUCAGAAGGCAUGUUGAAUAUGUUCCUUAAUAGAGGAGAGUAGGUAGGAAAGUUCAAACAAUGGUCAUGGUGGUAAAGAGCGCAGUAAUUACAAAGAUAAGUGCAAAGUACAGAAAUAUAUAAAUCAUGAUAAAUAACAUCACCCAGACCCUAUUUUUCCAAAGUAUUUUCUCCUACAAAUGAGCUAAUGAUAGAUGCAGAAAUGCCAAAUGCUGUGACUGCUAUAUAGCAGGGGAUCCAGUAAAUGUUUGGUUAAAAAAAAAAAAAGACCCAAGAAAUAAAUUAAUAGAGUGGAGGAAAUUAAAGAGGGCUGGAAUAUGUAAAGUAAACAGGGUUUAACAAAGAUCUGAAGUAACUACUUAACAGGCAAAUUUACCUAAUAAGUGAUUCCAGAUAUAGAAACACUAAUCCUGGCAGCAGUUAAUCUACCAAAAACCUGACAAGAACAUUCUUUUUUCCUUUUCAGUUUAUGAAAAGAGGUAAUCGUCCAGGAAGAAGUACAUUCUCUAGGUGUUUGCUGCCAGCUGGGGGGAAGCAAAGUGGGAAACAGAAGGGGGAAAGCAUGUGUGUGUUUUCUUCUCUCCAUUAGCUUGGGAAAUGCAUCUUCACUAAAAAAAAAUUGUCAUCAGUAAGAUGCUCUCUUGUUCAACUUAGGAGAGGGGCUGGAAGACAUUAAGUGGUGAAUAUGGGUCUUUAUUAUUCUGGCAAUGUUGGCCUGUUCAUGUUCAAAAUUUAUGUUUUAAAAUCUCUGGAAGGCACAGUGCAUUUCAAUUAGUGAGACUAUACAGUAGUUUGUCUUCUCCUAAAAAUAAUUAUGUAAAAUUUAUUCUGAGUUAUUUGUAAUUUUAGUACUUAGGGAAGUGUCUGCAUUUUCAAUUAAGAGCUAAGUAUACAAAUUAAAAGUGCUGCACAGUGUAGCUUAAAUCCAGCCCUCACUGGCCGGUGCACAUAAACACUAAUAUCAAAUGAUGGUUUUGUCAUGUGAUCCAACCCGCAGCACAUACAAAUAUAGAACAUGACCAUAAAAAGUAACGGACCAUGCCCUCUGCUAAGUAAUUUAUGACAGCGGAUCCAGACUGGAAUGCCAGCUGGAAUUACCUUCUCCCUGUCUGCUAUUUUCGCAUAUACAGCUUUGUACAGAUGAUAGAAGCUACGUUCUGCAGAGAGGACUCAUGUUAAGGCUGCUGAAAUGACGAACAAGUAGCAAACCCAAAGGCUAAAACAUGUUUGGCUUUUAAAAAGAUUUGUUGAAUGAUGUUAAACCUCUUUUAAAAUCAAUUUUUGAAUCAGGCUGUAAGAGAAAAACUUGUAACCCUACCAAUUUUGAAAUUUCAGAUUUAUGGUGUCUAGCAAACAGAUAGGAAGCUUUACAGUGGAGAAUGAAAAAUAGUUGAUAAUCAUGUUAUGAAAAAUGCAAUGUGAUCCCAAAACUUGACUAAAGGGAGAAUGAAAAAUUCCCUAGCCAUAUACGUAGCCCUAACCUCUUUGCAGAAUUUGCCAUUGAGGCAGUCUGGAACUGUAACAAAUUUAGUAUGAAAUAGUGGAUAAAACAAAGGAUAUUAUCCUUCUUUAUUAACCUUUACCCCCUUGGAUAAUCCCCCAAAUCCCAUGUGUGUGAUAACCACCUCACUUCCUUUGGGCAGUCAUUCAUUAUCUAAUUCAUGUCUUACACAAAGAGAAAUGAGCUAAUGUGCCUUAUCAGAUUAAAAAAAAAAAUAGUCACCAUGAGGGAUGUCCAACAGGACAGGAUCUUAGCAAAUCCCUUCUGCCUCCAUAGUCCUGGGUUUCUAAAUACCUAUAAAGCUACUAACCCACAGUCACAGCUCACAGGCUCAUUCACAGCUUUAUGUUGCUAAAGCAAACAGUCUGGGCAGAAGAAUGACAGCAUUACCCUCCUUUCUGAUUAUCCUCCUCUCUGCAUCCUGAUAAACUAAUGAUUUGCUUUCCUGUUGGGAUUCAGCCCCGACUGGGUAGCUUCAAGCUGUCAACUCAAGCAGACCCUGAUGAUAUCACACAAACCUCUUCCUCUCCUUCCUUCCCGGGUGCUUCAUUCUUCAUGAACCAGCAUCAACAUACAGCCUACACAUGGAGCCCGGGUGUAAUUACCAAGGCAAUUUUCUGGCCCUGGAAAGGCUCAUGUGAAAAGCAAAGGCUUCUUUUUGCCUCACUUCUCCAAAUACAACACAAAAUGCUAUUCAGAAAGCUGCUGGUUACAAAAAAUUCAAUCCUGUAAGUCUCUGUAACCUGUUUUUACCUGCUCAUCAUAGAUUGUACUUGGGCAGACAUUUCAAUUGGGUUUAAGCCUAUCUCUUCAGAAAUUAAAAGCAUGCAUUGCCUUUGAGUGCUUUUGAGUUGAUAGUUAAGAGAACCACCCACUUAGUAAUAUCAAUGAGUCCAAACUUAUGCAUAUUUAUGAAGUGAGACAGUUAAUUUGGAAAAGGCCAUAAAGUGAGUCACUGAUUAGGUUCUAAGAUGCUACUCCUUUUUGAAACUCUGAACACUGGGAAAUACUAUUGUCAAAUGAAAACAUAACUGACCAUGACACAAAAGAUGAAAACUUGUUACCUUUUAUUUCUCUUGCAGUUUUAUUUUUCUGUUUUCCAGAUAAAUGUAGAAGUACAUACUUAAAAAACCAUUAAAAAGACUUGUUCAACACAUAUAAAUAACAGCAGUUACUUAACAGAAUAUUUUCUUGAUACUUUUACAUGAAGACAGAAAGCUUUAAGGCAAUAUUUUAAAGUAGGCAUUUCACUUUGUAUUAGGGCCAGAAUUGCUGUAUUGCAUUAUGUUACCUGUCAUAUGCCCCCUAACAAUAGAACUUGGCAGUACUCAUUGUGGCCAAAUCUUUUAAGAUUCAGCAAUCGUGACUAAGCUAUGCUGUGACAUUUUCUGGGCAGGGACUUAAGGAACACUUGGGAGUUUGUCUUUGUUCAUUCGUUUGCUUUUUCUUUACAAUUUCCAGACCUGCCACUAGCCCCACCUAAUUUACUCAAGGCAUGUUCUGAGAUCAAAGUCACAUGACUACUUUGCUUGCCAUUUCAAAAUAUUGGACAAUAAUUUGACACCUUGUGUUAAACAAUACAGAGGCAAAAAAACGGGGGGGGGGAUGAACUCACUCUAAUUAAAAGAAAUGUUGAGAUCUCUCUAUAUAUGUAUCUACAUCUCUAGAUCUCUCUAUACUCAAGUACAGUGAAAACAAAUUCAGUGGUUAGAUUUGAAAGUUUUCUUGUCUUUCUCUGGAUGCCUCCUAGGGGAUUAGCCCAGAAAAACCCACUUGAGAGUUCAGAAAGAUAUUUCCACUAAGACAGACUUCAUUUUAGUCAAGCCAACUUACCCACUCUGGCAGACUGGCUAAAUGCUCACCAAAUCCAUGAAUUUCUCCUUCCCAGCAUACAGGCUGAUUAAAUUUCCCAGCCACCCUUGCAACUACAAGUGUCCAAGAGAUUGAAUGAAGGCAGAGGUGACAUAUGCCACUUCCAGGUCUGACCCAUAAAACCUUUCCAGGAAUGAUCCUGCAUUGUCUUUCCUGAGUCAGUGGCCAAGGACUUGGAGUCAGGAAGGGGCUAAAAGAUAGAAGAUGCCCGGUCCCUGAAUGACCAUAUGGAAGACUGUCAAUCAAAAACACCACAGCAGACCUCAGGCAAGCAAGAAAAAUGAGAAUUAGGCACUUCUGCUUAAAGCAGUUGGACUAACCUAACUAGUACUAAAGUCUGCUAUUCAAUCACUUGACCUUUGCAUAUUUUUUCUCAUUCAAUCCUCACAAUAACUCUAUGAGAUAAGAACUAUUAUCCCUAUUAAAAAUAAGGAAACAUGGGCUAAGAGAAUUUAACUGCUUUCUUAAGUGGGUAACUUGACAAGUUGGUUUAGUUAGAGUGGCUCAGUUCAGUGGGAGUUUCUUGUGGACUUUAUCAGAUUAAUUUGCCAGUAGCCAUCCAGGAAAAAAAAAAAAGAUCCUUUUUGUUUUUCUUGCAUUUGGAUUCACAAAGCUAAAGAGUAGAAGAUCUGGGGUUCAAAUCCAGGUAGGCACAAGUCCAAAGAUUCUACCCUUGACCACCCUCACAAAUUAAUAUAUAUAUAUAUAUUUUUAAUCUCAAACCUAUGGGCAUAAACCCAUAAAUAAUUGGAAUCUCUCAGUGUACCUAAGUAAUUAGCUUAAGUACUAAGGUUAACUACUAGGCUUUCUUGGUUGGUUUAAGAUUAAUAAAUUAUCAACAAAUUGGAUUACUGCCCCACAGCUUAGAAAAUCCUUACUGAGUGCGUGCUCUGGCAGAGCACUGUGCUGGGCCAUGCAUAUCACUAGCUGGAGGAAUGGACAGAAGAGGUCUCUCAUCCUCCUUUCUCUUCUCAUUUCUCAGACUCUUUAAAUAAUGAAAGGACAAAAAAUUAGUUUUAGAUUCCUGCUCAGUGCACAGGAAGGCACUAUCUCUUUAUUUUUUAAAAAAUAAUGAUUUAUGUAUUUGGCUGCCUCAAGUCUUAGUCGCAGUACACACACAGGGUCUUUGUUGCAUCAUGUAGAAUCUUUCAUUGAGGGGCACGGAUUUUCUAGCUAUGGUGAGUGCGGGCUUCUGAGCACAUGGGCUCAGUAACUGCACAGCAUGUGGGACUUUAGUUCCCCAAUCAGGGAUCGAACCUGCGGCCCCUGCAUAGCAAGGUGAACUGUUAACCACGAGGCCACCAGGGAAGUCCCAAUAUUUCCUUUUAUUUAUUUAUUUUUUAAAGUAAUUUAUUUAUUU